RNAcentral lists this ribosomal RNA (473 nucleotides) under uncultured Escherichia sp. RNAcentral describes it as "bacterial SSU rRNA". It matches the Rfam family "Bacterial small subunit ribosomal RNA", at positions 88 to 558 of the family's 1533-position model. Lineage: Bacteria; Pseudomonadati; Pseudomonadota; Gammaproteobacteria; Enterobacterales; Enterobacteriaceae. The record is from RNAcentral.
CUGACGAGUGGCGGACGGGUGAGUAAUGUCUGGGAAACUGCCUGAUGGAGGGGGAUAACUACUGGAAACGGUAGCUAAUACCGCAUAACGUCGCAAGACCAAAGAGGGGGACCUUCGGGCCUCUUGCCAUCGGAUGUGCCCAGAUGGGAUUAGCUAGUAGGUGGGGUAACGGCUCACCUAGGCGACGAUCCCUAGCUGGUCUGAGAGGAUGACCAGCCACACUGGAACUGAGACACGGUCCAGACUCCUACGGGAGGCAGCAGUGGGGAAUAUUGCACAAUGGGCGCAAGCCUGAUGCAGCCAUGCCGCGUGUAUGAAGAAGGCCUUCGGGUUGUAAAGUACUUUCAGCGGGGAGGAAGGGAGUAAAGUUAAUACCUUUGCUCAUUGACGUUACCCGCAGAAGAAGCACCGGCUAACUCCGUGCCAGCAGCCGCGGUAAUACGGAGGGUGCAAGCGUAAUCGGAAUUACUGGG